AGAAUCUGAAAAGAAAUGGCAAUGAGCAGAGGUCUCCCACCCUCACGUGGAGGACAGGGUCCGCAAAGAUGAGUCACAUUGUAGAACUUCACUAUUCAGAGAAAGCCCCUUCACAUGCAGAAUCUCGCUGGUCUCUCAGGACAAUCCUGUGAGAGACGGGGUCUCAUUAUGUUGCCCGAGGCUUCAGUAUCUUUUCCAAAGCAACAUGAAAGAAAUGUGACCGUAAAUCAAUCAGCUUCUUGGUGUGAUCUAUGUGACGGCUAGGUGAUAAACGAGUUGGUCAGAGAAAACUGGAAAUAUUUCCAAAGCCAUGUUUACUCCCUUCACCCACCUGUGAGUCUUCGCCUUGGCUGUUUCCGACUCGGAAUGUCCUCGCAUUGAUCCUCCCAAUCACAGCCAGCUGAAACCAGCCUCCUUCCUGACGUAUUCAGUAACUUUAGCUGAUUGCCAUCUCUCCUUCAUCUCAACAACCUGUACCACACUCACUGGAGCACUUCGCUUUGCAUCUUUAGUCGACCAGUUCAGAUAUAUACAACCUAUAAGGUAGGGACGGAGGCUUCUACCUGCCUGUACCCCCUUUGGAGGGCCCACGAAUACAGAGCUGAGCACAAAAGAUGUUUAAAGGACAUUUUGUCAAAAAUGUCGCUUACAGGUAGGUCGUUAUUAGCAAGGUAGAGCAGCGGUACGGCCGAGUCUACGCUUGGGAAUUCAUUUGCUGACUCUUAUCAUUUACUGACUAAAGCAAAGUUACUGAGGCCUCAGUUUCCUCAUCUACAACCCGGGGAGAUGACCAGUACCCAUCACAAUCGAUUGCUAUGAAGAUUCAAUGAUAAUGCAGAUAAGGCACUUAAUACAGUGUCCCCUCACCGUCCACACCACACGGGCACGCCCGCUUAUUCCUGAGGACCGGGCUGGGAUGUCGCCUCCUUUGUGUAGCCUUCCUACCCUGACUUCGCAGACUGCUCCCACCGCCUGGAUCCAUGCCCGUCCACCCGCCAGCUCAGGGCUGAACGGCUGAGGCGGGCGCGCGGUGGAGAAAAGAGCUGCAGACUGAGGAAGGUCAGGAAGGAGAAAGGGACACACCAGACGCGGCGUCUGAAUCCCCCUCCACCCAGAGGCCCCCGAGCAGCAACUCCGCCCCACCUCCCGCCCGCUCCGCCGGAAGCCGGUCAGCGCCAGCCGGAAGCCCCGCCCCCUAGAGGCACCGCGGACACCGUGCAGCGCUGUUCACCCAGAUGCCAGCUGUGACCUUGGCUAAGCCAGUGACUUAACUCGGGCCCGUUCCCCAUUCCCACGUUGUUGCCAAGUCUCCAGCCUGGAAAGUAAACGGGCUUCAGGUGUCCUGUUUAGAUGCUUAAAAUGAGGAACGGCAGGAGCACACACACUGCUGCCACCUCACACCUUUUCACUUCAUCCUGACGAAGCUGCAGUUUAGUUUAUAUUUUAACUCAAAGACGUGUUAGGUUUUGGUUUGAUGGCACUCAUCCAGCACUUGUGCAGAAAACAAGGUAAAGGGGGCCCAUGGGUCUAUCAGAUAACCUGAACCCGAGACCUCUCAAUCUGGAGGAACAGCUUGAAGAAGUCAUCUAGAAGCUAUAAAGUCACAGAAGCUUCUUAUCCUAUUGAAAGCAAGACUUCCUAUCCAAUGGCAAUACAAACUUUUACGCAGUAAGACCCUGCACUGAUGGAUCCGCUGGUGCCACCCAGAUCAAUAAACUGGCUCAUCUGAUCUUGUGGCCCCCAUCCAGGAACCAACUCAGAGCAAGAAGACAGCUUCAACUCCCUAUGCCUUCAUCUCUGAUACGACCUGUCAACACGCCCCACUCCCUGGCCCCCUACCUGCCAAAUUAUCCUUAAAAAAACUCCCAUCCCUAAAUUUUCCGGGAGAAUGAUUUGAGUAGUUAACUCUGGUCUCUCGUUCUGGCUCUGCAUGAAUUAAACUCUUUCUCUAUUGCAAUUCCUGUCUAGAUAAAUCGGCUCUAUCUGGACAGCAGGCAAAAUGAGCCUGUUGGGUAGUCACAAUAUAUUGAUAAAAGGAUUAAUCCCAAAGCAAUGUUCUGAUUAUGUCACCUAAUUAUGGUCACAUCAUCUGACGUUUGAGGAAACUGAUUUUCGGGCAGGAUCCCCAGGAGUUGGAGACCAAUCUGGGCAGUAAAGUGAGACCCCUCUCUACAGAAACAAAAAAAAGGUCCUACAUGGGAGCAUCACUUGAGCCCACAAGAGCCAUGACCACGCAACUGCACUCCAGUCUGGGUAAGAGUGAGACCCCAUCUCAGCCGGGCGCGGUGGCUCACGCCUGUAAUCCCAGCACUUUGGGAGGCUGAGGCGGGCUGAUCACCUGACGCCAUGAGUUCGAGACCACCCUGCCCAACAUGGUGAAACCCCGCCUCUACUAAAAACACAAAAAUUAGCCGAGCCGUGGUGGCGGGCGCUUGUAAUCCCAGCUACUCGGGAGGCUGAGGCAGGAGAAUCGCCUGAACCCGGGAGGCGAAGGUUGCAGUGAGCUGAGAUGGCACCACUGCACUCCAGCCUGGGGGGGACAAGAGCGAGACUUCAUCUCAAAAAAAAAAAAAAAAAAGAUUUUCACCAAAUAAUACAAUUAAAAACUGAAAAGCAGCUUACUUACUGUUUUUUGGUCCCUGGCUCAACUCAUCUUGCCACUCUUUGGGAGCAAGAGUCUCAGAAGCAUCUUUCUCAGGAAUGCAAUCUCUCUUCUAAGCUAAGUGCGUAAAAUAUCCAUCAAGACAACGAGAACAAGUAGGGAU
This 2765-nucleotide long non-coding RNA is filed under the name Homo sapiens (human). RNAcentral describes it as "HSALNT0388374". The record is from RNAcentral. Lineage: Eukaryota; Metazoa; Chordata; Mammalia; Primates; Hominidae.